UCUAACGCUCUCCCAUUCUUGUGAUGAAAAAAAAAGCUCAGGACUGAAUAUUUCCUACGGAAAUAUGAGGUUUUUGUUCCAGCAGUGAGUGGAGAUGCAGCACUGUGAUUACUUCGACUACUGGGGCAGCGGGACUAAAGUCACAGUAACAGAUACUACACCUGCUCCAACAGUACCACCAACUCUGUUCCCUUUGGUUCAGUGCAGUACUGGGACUGCAGAUAGAAUCACUGUUGGCUGUCUUGCAAAAGACUUCUACCCAAAGAGUCUUACUUUACAGUGGACCGAUGCCAGUGGGACCACCCUGCCUGCAGCUGUACAAUAUCCUCCAACUGAGAAAAACAACAAAUAUACAGGAGUCAGUUUGCUCACUGUAUCAAAAUCUGAAUGGGAUUCAAGGAGACCUUAUACUUGUUCUGUGACUCACCCUGAAGCACCCCCCCCUGUGACACUGUUAAAAAAGCCCUCAUUACCUUCAAAUGUCACAAUGGAACUGAACCAACCAAGUCCCAAAGAAAUAUUUAGCAACAACCAGGCAAAGUUGAAGUGUAUCAUUACUGGACAGGACCAGAAUGUUGUAAAACAAUAUAAAAUCACUUGGCAAAUCAAUGGAUCCCCUGUGACCAACAACAUCACACCAACACAGUCGGGAGUCAGCACAAUGACUCUUACCCGCGCUGAGUGGUACAAAGUCAACAACGUGCGCUGUUCUGCCACGAAAGAUGACAUGACGACAGUUACUCAAGAACUGACUUUCCACAAAGGAGAUGGGAGCGAGCCAAAAGUAACAGUCCACAUCCUCCCAGAUGAGGACAUCACCGAUGAGGUCACUCUGGUGUGUCUGGUCUCCAGUCGGGUGCAGCAGGAUUACUACAUCACCUGGUCAGAACAAAAAACAAACCCCCCCAUCUAUACUGAUGGCAUUAACUUCCCGCCAGUGAAGACCAAACAAGGCUACUCAGUUGCAAGUAUUUACACCACCACCAAAGACAAGUGGAACAAGGUGACCAUGUUCUCCUGCCACGUAUGGCCUGGUAGUGUCGAAAACCAUACUAUAUCCAGAGCUGUGUCUAGUGGCCUAGGUAAAUCCCAUGAAUGUGAUAAUUAGUAGAUUCAGCUUUAAAUGUGGCAGUUAGUGCUAAUGUGUUGUUCUGUCUCUGUGUGUACUCUCUGCCAUGAGAACCUGUCUUUGUGAUUGUAAAACGGUCAAUUUACUAUUGUUUGUCAUAUUGUGUUUCAAUCUGUCUACGUCACAUUGUCUGACAGCUUGAGAAGUGUGCUGACUGUUUCAAAUAAAUGUUGCAUGGA
Non-coding RNA from Sander lucioperca (pikeperch), 1308 nucleotides. NCBI's taxonomy places the organism in Eukaryota, Metazoa, Chordata, Actinopteri, Perciformes, Percidae. The record is from the annotation of a RefSeq genome assembly.